Molecule: ribosomal RNA, 253 nt
Filed under: uncultured bacterium
Lineage: Bacteria
Description: partial 16S ribosomal RNA
Rfam family: Bacterial small subunit ribosomal RNA
Source: RNAcentral
UACGGAGGGAGCUAGCGUUGUUCGGAAUUACUGGGCGUAAAGCGCACGUAGGCGGCUUUGUAAGUUAGAGGUGAAAGCCCGGGGCUCAACCCCGGAAUAGCCUUUAAGACUGCAUCGCUUGAACGUCGGAGAGGUGAGUGGAAUUCCGAGUGUAGAGGUGAAAUUCGUAGAUAUUCGGAAGAACACCAGUGGCGAAGGCGGCUCACUGGACGACUGUUGACGCUGAGGUGCGAAAGCGUGGGGAGCAAACAGG